CCUACGGGAGGCAGCAGUGGGGAAUAUUGCACAAUGGGGGAAACCCUGAUGCAGCGACGCCGCGUGAGUGAAGAAGUAUUUCGGUAUGUAAAGCUCUAUCAGCAGGGAAGAAAAUGACGGUACCUGAUUAAGAAGCCCCGGCUAACUACGUGCCAGCAGCCGCGGUAAUACGUAGGGUGCAAGCGUUGUCCGGAAUCAUUGGGCGUAAAGAGUUCGUAGGCGGCAGGUAAAGUCAGGUGUUAAAGGCGCAGGCUCAACCUUGGUAUGGCACUUGAUAGUUGCAAGAUGGAAUGCGGUAGAGGUAAAGGGAAUUCCUGGUGUAGCGGUGAUAUGCUUAGAUAUCAGGAGGAACAUCGGUGGCGUAAGCGCUUUACUGGGCCGUAAUUGACGCUGAGGAACGAAAGCCAGGGUAGCAAAUGGGAUUAGAUACCCCUGUAGUC
This 440-nucleotide ribosomal RNA is filed under the name uncultured bacterium. RNAcentral describes it as "partial 16S ribosomal RNA". It matches the Rfam family "Bacterial small subunit ribosomal RNA", at positions 338 to 795 of the family's 1533-position model. The record is from RNAcentral.